Acanthosepion pharaonis is the source of this 99-nucleotide non-coding RNA. The record is from the annotation of a GenBank genome assembly. NCBI's taxonomy places the organism in Eukaryota, Metazoa, Mollusca, Cephalopoda, Sepiida, Sepiidae.
AUUGAAACAUCGGUUUCCGUACGAUCAACCAAGUUAAGUAACGUCGAGCCUGGUCAGUACCUAGAUGGGUAACAGUUUGAGAAUACCUGGUGCUGUAAG